UUCAACACCAAAAACAAGCAUGCCACGUAAGCCAGCUUCAUUAACAGACCUUAUACUCUUUCCAGCAGUAAUAGCAUCUUCUCCAGCACAAAAAUGUUCAUAGAAUGUUCUCUUUGUAACUGCCAUAACUGCAUCUUUCAAGAUUCCCGUUUGUAACAAUUUUGAUUGCAUAGCCCAUAUUCCAACGUCCACGACAGGUCCUAUAGCCGUUGCAUGCAGAACGGCUGAGGAUCUUAUCAGCGUGGACGUUGGAACAGCUGAGAAUAAUCUCUCACCGUCGUUUAGGUCAAGAUAAGAUGGUUGUUGGUGUGACGGUUGUGGUGGAGAAGGUUGUUCUCUUUCGAGAAUGGAGGCGACGGUGGCGGUGGCUGAAGGAUGGUAGGAGUUUAAUGGUUUUGUGGUGGUUUUGAAACGGAGAUUCUUGAUGAUUUUUUGUGGGACCACACGAGUUGCCAUUCAAAAACAAGAAAUUUUGAUGUUUUUGAUUUCUUUGACGUUGUUUUUCUUCUUUUUUUUGUGAUGAAACUCUCGACAACCUUCAGGGUUUUUUAUCUUUCAAAGGAACACGUGAUUUUGGUGUUGUUGUUCUAUGUAACGAGGUUAAGGGUGUGGUUGUUUUUAUAGGCAUGAAAAGUUAAUAGGGUUUGGUCAAGCAAUGAAAAGUACAACGCUGCAUGAUGAUGUUGUUGUUCUAAUAACGUGGCUUAAUCUUUUAUCCUUAACAACCUUUUAAUUUUAGUUUUUAAAUUUUAUCCUUAACAACUUUUUAUUUUGAUUUCCCUUUUUAAUAUAGUUUUUUAUGGUUUAGUCGGUGUUUUUUAUUUGUAAUUUCUUUCCGUUUAUAACUGAUUGUAAAUUAAUCUGAUUAACUUUCAACUUUAAUGAGAUAACUAUGAUAAUUUUUAAUAAGGCAAAUAUUAAAAAAAGUAAUUAUGAUAGUUUAACAGUUUAAUUUCUAUUUGAAAAAACAAUUUAAUUACUAUGCAUAGAGGUGUAAAUAAUUAUUUAUUUUCCCUUAAAAAUCAUCAAUUUUAAUUAUUUUUUCAUUUGAAGUGGCAUAUCUUAAUUUGAUAUUUAAUUUAGACAAAAAUAAUCAUAAUCAAUACUAUGUAUGAACGAAAUGAGGGAUUUUGGACAGAUUUUUUUACUAUUUCAAUUAUACCCUUAAUUUUUUUAUAAUAAUGUUAUAUUGUUGUGAUAUUAAAAGAAAUAAUUCCGUAGCAUUUCAAAAACGCCUUGAUUUGUUUUGAUUUUUAACCAAAACGUUUGCAUUUAAUUACCAUUUAUUUUUUUUCAAUUAAGAUUGUAGGGGUAAAAUUGAGCUAAAAAGUGAUAAGCGAAAACAAGCUAUAAACUUGUGUAAAAAUGACAUUUAUUAAAUGGAUUAUUUUUUAUCAGGUAGGUUGUGGCUAGAGCUCACACAUUUUAAAUGUGGAGAAGUAGAAUGUACGGGGUUCAAACUCCAACCCCUACAUAUAUUAUGCAAUUUUCCUACCAACCCAACUGAGUUAUACUCACAUAACUUUUUUAAUCAUGAGAACUUAUAAACAAUAUGUUAUAAACUUAAAAUAAUGUCUUACUAGAUAGACCCUUAAACCCCUUUUUUUUUUUUUCUUAAAAAAAAAACCCUUAAACCCUUUUCUUUUUUCUUAGGAGAAAAAACUUCAAACGCCUAUAAAAAUGCAAAAAAUAUAAUUACUACUACCUCCGGUCCUAUUUAUAAGAGAAAUUUAGGUCAACAAAAGUGAAUGUAUUUGGACUGAAUUUUUAACUAGAUACAUCAACUUUUGUUGACCCAAAAUUCUCUUAUAAAUAGGACCGGAGGGAGUAUAUCGCUAUUUGGAUGGUAACUAGUUGUGUCAUGUUGCUGUGGAUAAACUAUGGCAUGAAAAAAGUUAGUAAAAUGGAGUGAAAAAGAGAGAGCGUAGGUAAAGGAAGAUGAGUAAGAGUGGUAGGUAGGUGCUAAAUUGUAGGGGAGAGUAUGGACAUGAGUUAUAAAAGGUAACAUGAUAGUUUGCAAAUACACGUAGAUAUGACAUAGAUACUUAAAGUAGAGUAUGCAUGUAACAUGUUAUUAAAUUCAAGAUAAUACUGCCAUCAUCUUGAUUCAGUCAAUUCUACAAUUUUAAUUUCAUAUCUUACCAACUAUAACCGCAAUAGAUCCAGGAGAUUCCUUUCUAUUCUAAAAUUAAUGGAUAUUAUAUACUUUUAUCUACGGUUUAUUCGGGUUUGUUUGAAACAAUUCUAAGAAAUUGGUCAGCUAUUUGGAAGCUUAAAUACUUUGGAACUUAGUUUGGAGGAUGUGUCGGGUUGUUUGUCUAGGAGGAUUCGACUUCAUGACAAAGGUGUGAUGUGUCCAACACAUUGCGUUAGUUGUGUUUCUACACACGAUGAUCAACACGAGUCUUUCUCGCGUGUUUUGUCAUCACUUGCACGCUUACUGAGAAUUUUUCGGUAGGUCACCAAUCAUAAGAAUACUCAAAGUCAAGCACGCUUAACUGUGGAGUUCUUAUGAAAUGAGCUACCGAAAAGAAGAUGCAUAUUGUUGAUAUAGGUAGUACCAAACAAUUCUUAUAAGUCUUCCUUCAACCAUGUAGUCUCAUACCUACACGGCCUCAGGAUCCAUCUCAUUCCGAUGUGAUUCGGCUUGUCUAGAAGUUGUCGGGAGCCGCUCAUUGUCAUGCCUUGUGCACCGGCGACCACUCCCCACCCUCGUCAGCCUUGGGUGUUACAUGCCCACCAGCUUCCGCUUAGUUUGUCCCCGAACCACACCGUACUCAGAGAGGUCUGCUCUGAUACCAUUUGUAACAUCUCAGACUGCUUUCAAGAUUGCCGACUGACCCUACAAACCAACACGAGUCUUUCCAGCAUGUUUUGUCAAAGUGCUUAUAAUUUACUUGUUGUAAUUUCUUAUGCGUGACAGAGAAAAUAGGGCCAAGGAAAUUUAUGCAACAAAAUUUGCUUCAAUUGCACCUAAAAUUGUUAGCUGCUUAGUAAGUAACAUUUUUUUAGGUGUUACAUGUAAUACCUUCAAGUGUUACUGAAAUCAUUAAGUAACACGGGAUUUACCUAACAAUUGUCAUAUGUUACAAAAUCUAAAUAGUAACAUUUGUUUUUUAUUUAGUUACACUUUUGAAGUAUUACUAGUGUUACAUGUAAUACCCUUAAGUGUUACUGAAAUCAUUUUGUAACACAGGUUUUACCUAAUAUUUCUCAAAUGUUAUAAGAUCUAAAUAGUGACAUUUGUUUUUUAUUUAGUUACAACUUUAAAGUGUUACUAAAUCUCAUAUAUGUUGUAGUGUAGCAGCACACUUCCAAAUCAUCAAUUUGAAUAGUUCUAACACAAGAUGCACAUUGUUGCUUCCAAAUUAAUUUAAAUUAACCGACAUGAUUAAAAAAAUAGACUAAGAUUUUAUUUUUGUUAAAAAAAAUAGAAUAAGAUUGCUUAACCAAUCAGCUUAAAUAAUUUAGUAUUUUUAUAAUGUGGGGAGGCAGACUUUCCCAAACUUAAUAUGCACAUAAAGCACAAACUAACUUCAAAAUCUGACAUACAUUUCCAACAAAAAUACCAUAAUAAUUCAAAAUUCAUUUCAUUGAAAUUCCAAUUUCAUCAAAUUACAGCAUUCUUUAAUUCUUAAAAAAUUUCAAAAAAAAAUCAUGAUGCUUGCCAAAUUACAAGACAUGAUUUUUAUACUAUUAACAUUGCUAAAGCUCUUAAAAUAUUGCAGCUUUAAGCCUCCUUCCAAGCUCUUUUCUGUACAAAAAAUAAAAUAAAAAUCACUAUGAGAAAAACAUAAAUUAAAUAAUUUUCAUGUCACAAAAUAAUUAAAAGGUUAAGAAAUUAUUUUUAAUUUUGUUACCUUAUGAGUUGCCUAUCAAAUCCAGAAGCAGCCAAAAGGCCUCUAUUUUCUUCAGCUCUUCUCAAUAGAUAAGGCAUAACCAUCUCAACUGGUCCAAAUGGCAUAUACUUGCUUACUCUAAAUCCAGCGUUGCUCAAACCAAAUGAAAGUGCAUCUGACAUUCCACAUAGUUGUGCAAAUUCAAGCUUGUGAUUCACCUUUCCCAUCCCAAUUUCAUAUGCUUUUGCUGCAGCCAAUUUCCCUACACAGCAAAAAAAAAAAUCAAUACAUUUUAGAUACAUUAAUUGAAAUCAUGGUUAUUCUAGUAUUCUUAUUGGUACAUGUAGCAUAUAUAUUUCAGAUUUAAGGUGUGUUGGUUGAUCGAUGUGGGUCAAUGUCUGAUACCGACAUAUGUAGUUACAUUUAUUUACUUAUAUUUUCUUGAAAUAUUUCUAAUGUCUACGUGUCAGUGUCAAUAUCAUAUAUGUUGUCUAUGUAUGUAUCAAUGCUACAUACCAUUCAAUCUAAAGAUUGACACUUCAUAUUAAUGGAUGUCCGGCAUGCGACGACACCAACACAUAUGAUUACAUUUUCUUAAAAUAUUAUCAGUGUUCGACAUGCGACGGCACCGACACAUAUGAUUACAUUUUCUUAAAAUAUGUUCUUUCAGGUGUUCAUGUAUGUGUCGGUGCUUCAUACAUUAGUCUAUAAAGUCUAAAAAAUAUGAAAUUGAAAAGUAAAAAAAACCUAAUGAGUAAAAUAAUCUAAUUAGUACCUGAUUCAAUGUUGUGUGUAGCAAGAACAACAGAUCCUUUUCCAUUAGCAAACUUCUCAAGCAAAUAAGAUGAACAAUCAUUGAAGCAAUUAUGUGUAUCUUCAAUAGUAUCAUGAAUUGGUGACUUAGACCCAAAAGAUUCAGCCAAUGUACUUUCUGUGGACAUAUAAGCACCUCUAACCAAUUUAAAUCCCAUAGGAAUUCCAAUUUCUUCAGCAGCUUUUGUUGCAAGAAACAAUCUCUCCUUAGCAUCUUUCAAAUAAGUUUGAAUUGUUCCAAACACAAUAGGGUUAUCAUCUUUAUUAUGCAUAAUUGCUGAAGAGUAUGUGAAGUAAUCAAUAGCUGGUUGAACAGUAGUGUGUUCAGCAUCAACCAAUAAGGGCAUGUUUGCUUCAACACAUUUUUUACAAAGUUGUUGUAAUCUUUGGUUUGCUAGUUGAAAAUCACUUUCUUCUUGUGGUGUUAAUGGUUCUGGUUUUUUUGUAGUGUGGUAUAAUGGACUUGAUUCAGAGAAAAUUGGUAGAGAAUCUUGUUUCCAUGGUAAAUUGAAUGAAGGGUCUUUUUGUUGCCAUCUUAGAAGAUCACUUAUUCUUUCUAGUAAUGCCAUUGGACAUAUUGCAGUGAUUUUCACAAUCACAAAACUCACCUAUCACAUAAAAAAUAAAUAAAUUAGGAUCGUGUGGGAAAUCGGAUCGCAUAUAGAUGGAAAUUUGGCUCAUUCAUGCGAUCAGUAUAUUCGUUGCAGUUGGAUCAAGUUCUGCAGUGAUAUUUGCAUGGAAUUCUACGUUGAAAUAUAAACUGUUCAAUCUUGAUCCAACAACUACGAAUGUGUUGUUUGCAUGAAUGUGUCAAACCCAAAAAAAAAAAAAAAUAAAUAAAUAGUUUUUUACAUGGUGUACCAAUUUAGUAUAAAACACCUUGAACAUGAAAUAAUUAAAACUCUAGUAAGAAAUGGUAAAAAUCCAAACUACUAAUGAACCCUUUUGUCCAAAUACCAAAAUCUAAUUUCUAAACACUAGUUUCCAAUUUUUAUGUUACAAUGCCAACCACAUUGUACUUAAGCUAGGUGGGAGUGGGACAACAUUAUAUAUAAUAAUAUUAAUACAAACAUUAUGAUGGAAAUGAAAUAAUGAAAACUCUUGUUAGAAAUGGUAAAAAUUCAAACUAGUACUUAAACCAUUUUGUCUAAAACAGUAACAUUAACCGAUCUAAACACUGCUUCCCAAUUUUUUGGUUAACCCUUUAUCCAAAAAUACCAAACUCAAAUUUCUAAACACUGCUUCCCAAUUUUUUGGUUAACCCUUUAUCCAAAAAUACCAAACUCAAAUUUCUAAACACCUAGAUGCCAACAAUAUAUGACUCAAUGUCAUGCCAACCACAUUGUCCUUAAGUUAGGUGGGACCAACAAAAUAUAAUAUGAGACAAAAUUGUUCACUCUGUCACAAGAUUUCAACAAAAAAAGCACAAAAUUUUUACAUGAGAGCAUGACUUGAACUGGCAUAUCAAGGUGAUUACUUGGUGAUAUUGAAACAUGCAAUGUGACACUUGUUGCCAACUCAAUUCAUACUCAUCACAAAAAGUAGCAAUUCAAUUAAACACACGCCUCACAAUAAAAACACACACGUUCACUUUUCAAAGUCAAGGCCCACAACCAUUUAAUUCAUUAAAAAAAUUAUUUAAUGUAAUAAUACUCCCUCCGUCUCAAAUUGUAUGACGUUUUGGCCAUUUCACACGUAUUAAGAAAUGUAAUUAAUAUUGUGUGACAAAAAAAAUUAUGAGUUGUUUUACAAAAUUAUCUCUAAUAAAUGGUAUGGAAAAGAUAAAUGAAAUAAUUGAAAGAAGAGAGAGUAAUUAAUAGUUAAGGAUAUAAUAGGAAAAGUAACAUUAAUAUUUCAUUGGUAUUGUAAAGCGACAUACUCCCUCCGUCCCAAAUUGUAAGACGUUUUGGGCAUUUCACACAUAUUAAGAAAUACAAUUAAUAUUGUGUGGAAAAGGGAUAUUAUGAGUUGUUUUACAAAAUUGUCCUUAAUAAAUAAUAUGGGAAAAAUAAAUGAAAGAAUUGAAAUAAGAGAGUAAUAAAUAGUUAAGGUUAUAAUAGGAAAAGUAACAUUAAAGUUGCAUUGGUAUUGUAAAGCGACAUACAAUUUGGGACGGAGGAAGUAUAAUUUAGGAAAAAAAAUUUCCAAAGCGACAUACAAUUUGGGACGGAGGGAGUACAAAGUAGUUAAUGGCCUUCUAUUUCUAAAAGGGAUUGGAGAAACUUCAUUCACCUAUAGUUUAAAUAUUACAUGUGCUUUAUAUGUUUUUCAAGACAUGCUAAAAUAUCCUUAUUUCCUUUAACUAUUGGGGUGAGUCCACAUAAAAAAUUAAAAAAAGUAAAUAUGAUUAGAGAUCUCUUAUAUUAUUUUUAUUAUUACUAAUCAUAUUUGGUAUUCAUAAAUAAAAAGAUCCUCUUCAAUCUUUAUUUAAAGAAAUUGAAAAAUCUCAUUAUUAUGAGUUUAAUUGUAUAAUUAAUGACUACUUAAUUUUUUUUUUGAAGAAAAUUAAUGACUACUUAAUUAUAUCACUAAUUUUAGAAAUAUUUCACUUAAUAUAUUUUAAAAAGAAUAAUAAAGCUCCCAUUUUUUUUAAAAAAUAUAGAAAAUUCAAACAGAAAAACUAUCUGUUGAAUGUAUAUGAUGAUUGAAUUCUAUUUCCACGCUACAUUAUACGACCAAAUUAAUUUGACCAAAACCUCUUCUCUUUAAAUAAAAACAAACAAAUCUUUAAUUAAUCUAAACAGAUCUUAACCAAUUUAUUUUACCAUGAUGAUAAAAAUUAAUCAAAAAAAUAAAUCAAGAUAAAAUUAGAAACUUACAGAAGAAGGAGGAAGUGAUUUGCUAACAUCAACAGUAUGAAGAAACCCUUUAAGAUUACGAUCACAACCAUCAUUCUCAUGUGCAUCUUCAACACCAAAAACAAGCAUGCCACGUAAGCCAGCUUCAUUAACAGACCUUAUACUCUUUCCAGCAGUAAUAGCAUCUUCUCCAGCACAAAAAUGUUCAUAGAAUGUUCUCUUUGUAACUGCCAUAACUGCAUCUUUCAAGAUUCCCGUUUGUAACAAUUUUGAUUGCAUAGCCCAUAUUCCAACGUCCACGACAGGUCCUAUAGCCGUUGCAUGCAGAACGGCUGAGGAUCUUAUCAGCGUGGACGUUGGAACAGCUGAGAAUAAUCUCUCACCGUCGUUUAGGUCAAGAUAAGAUGGUUGUUGGUGUGACGGUUGUGGUGGAGAAGGUUGUUCUCUUUCAAUAAGGGAAGCGACGGCGGCGGUGGCCGAAGGAUGGGAGGAGUUUAAUGGUUUUGUGGUGGUUUUGAAACGGAGAUUCUUGAUGAUCUUUUGUGGGACCACACGAGUUGCCAUUCAAUAACAAGAAAAUUUGAGAUUUGAGAUUCUUGAUGAUGUUUUUGAUUUCUUUGACGUUGUUUUUCUUCUUUUUUGUGAUGAAAACUCUCGACAACACUUUAGUUUUUUUUUUAUCUUUCAAAGGAACACGUGAUUUUGGUGUUGUUGUUCUAUGUAACGAGGUUGUUUUUAUAGGCAUGAAAAGUUAAUAGGGUUUGGUCAAGCAUUGAAAAGUACAACACUGCAUGAUGAUGUUGUGUGAGAUAAGAUUAAACUCUCUAAUUACGUGGCCUAAUCUUUUAUCCUUAACAACUUUUUAGUUUUUAAUUUUGACUUAUCUUAUUCUUAAAAUAGUUUUUUUUGGUUUAGUUGGUGUUUUUAAUUUGUAAUUUCUUUCAGUUUAUAACUGAUUGUAAAAUAAUCUAAUUAACUUUCAACUUUGAUUAGGAUGACAAUUAGACCCAGACCCGAUGGUAAAACCCCGCUUUCAUGGAUAUGGGCAUGGAUCCGGGUAAUUACCCGCAACUUAAAAGGAUACAGGCACGGGUAUGGGCACUAUACUACCCAGCCCCGCAACCCGCAUAUAUGAUUUUAUAUAAUAUAAUAAAUAAUUUAUAUAUUAAUUAAUUAAUUAAUUAAUUUAUCUAACUAUUUAAGCUUAGAAUGAAACCUAAAAAUUGCUUAUUACAAUAAUCUAAACCUAGCCUCUUGUUGCAUUGAAUAGGGAUGGCAAUGGGUACCCAAUGGGUAGGGUACUAUAGUGCCCAUCCCCAUACCCACAUUUGUAAGAAAUAUCCAUACCCGUGCUCGUACCCUCGUGGGCAACAACUUUAGUGCCAUUCCCCAUACCCUAUGGGUACCUAAGUGCCCAUACCCGCACCUAUUACCCACACUUUAGCUAUGAAAAAGGAAUAAAAACAUCACAAUUGAAAUAAAACUAUGAUCCAAUAAAAAAACAUCUAAAUUAAAAUAUCCCUAAACAAUUGUACAUCGGCAAGAUGAAGUUAUUGUAUUAAAUAGUUUUUUUUAUUUAGGUUUGAGUUUAGGCUUAAAUAGCUAAAUUAAUUAAUUAAUUAUACACCAAAAAUAAAUAAUUAUUUAAAAUAUUAUAUAAAUAUGUAUAUGCGGGGUUGUGGGGCUGGGUAGUAUAAUACCCUUACCCGUGCCCAUACCCAUAACAAUUUGUGGGUAUUACCCAGACCCAUGUCCAUACCCAUGAAAGCGGGGUUUUACCCUACCCAUUGUGGGUUUUUUUUGCGGGUAUCCAUUGGGUCUGGAUCCAAUUGUCAUCCCUAGCGUUGAAUCUCUACCGCCUGCCUGCCUUUCAUUGCUUUUUGUUAUCCAUCUCUUAUGCUUCUAGGUAACUAUUUCUUGAAUCUCAUAUUUCUAAAGGGAUGUCAAUUGGACCCAGACCUGAUGGGUACCGCAAAAUACUACGAUUCAUACUUUUUUUUAUUUGGUUAAAUACUACCAUUCAUACUAUUUUAUGAGUUGAUUUGAAAUUUUCUGGAUCAUAAUUGUAUUUCAGUUGUGGUGCUUUUUUAUUGUCUUUUCAGUAUUAAACUGCGGGUAAUUGGUGCGGGUAUGAGCUCUUAGGUGCCCAUAGGGUAUGGGGAAGGGCACUAAAGUUGUUGCCCACGAGGGUAUGGGCCCGAAUACGUGUAUUUUUUACAAACGCGGGUAUGGAGAUGAGUAUUAUAAUUCCCUGCCCAUUAGGUACCCAUUGCCAUCCCUAACUUUGAUGAGGUAAUUAACUUUCAACUUUAAUGAGAUAACUAUGAUGAUUUUUAAUAUGGUAACUAUUAAAAAAGUAAUUAUGAUAGUUUGACAGUUUAAUUUCUAUUUAAAACAACAAUUUAUUUUCCCUUAAAAAACAUCAAUUUUAAUUAUUUUUUCUUUUGAAGUCGCAUAUCUAAAUUGAUAUUUUAGACAAAAACAAUCAUAAUAUUUAUCAAUACUAUGUAUAAACGAAAUGAGGGAUUUUGGACAGAUUUUUUACUAUUUCAAUUAUACCCUUAAAAAAUGUUCUAUAAUAAUGUUAUAUUAUUGUGUCAUUAAAUGAAAUAAUUUUGUAGCAUUUCGAAGACACGUUGAUUUGUUUUGAUUUUUCAACCAAAAGGUAUGCAUUUAAAUACCUUUUUUUUUUUUCUUUCAAUUAAGAUUGUAGGGGUAAAAUUGAGCUAAAAAGUGAUAAGCGAAAAUAAGUUAAAAAAUGAUUUUUUUUUUUUUUUGUCAAAUGGCCUAGUGGCUAGAACUCACAUUUUAAAUGUGGAGUAGUAGAGUGUACGGGGUUCAAACUUCAACCCUUACAUAUAUUAUACAAUUUUCCUACCAACCCAACUGUGUUAUGCUCACAUAACUUUUUUAAUCAUGGAAACUUAUAAACUAUAUGUUAUUAUAAACUUAAAUUAAUUAUAUCUUACUAGAUAGACCCUUAAACCCCCUUUUUUUCUUAAAAAAAAACCUAAACCCUUUUCUUUUUUCUUAGGGGAAAACUUCAAACGCUUAUAAAAAUGCAAAAAAAAAAAAAAAAAAAUUACUAUAUCGCUAUUUGGAUGGUAACUAGUUAUGUCAUGUUGCAAUGGAUAAUAUGGCAAGAUAAAAGUUAGUAAAAUGAAGUGAAAAGGAGAAAGCGUAGGUAAAGGAAGAUGAGUAAGUAAGAGUGGUAGGUGCUAAAUUGUAGGGAAGAGUAUGGACAUGAAUUAUAAAAGGUAACAUGAUAGUUUGCAAAUACACGUAGAUAUGACAUGGAUACUUAAAUUAGAGUAUGCAUGUAACAUGUUAUUAAAUUCAAGAUCAUAUUGCCAUCAUCUUGAUUAAGUCAAUUCUACAAUAUUAAUAUGUUCAUAUCUUACCAACUAUAACCGCAAUAGAUCUCGGAGGUUCCUUUCAUUCUAAAAUUAAUGGAUAUUAUAUAUUGUUAUCUACGGUUUAUUCGGUUUGUUUGAAUCAAUUCUAAGAUAUUGGUCAGUUAUUUGGAAGCUUAAAUACUUUGGAACUUAGUUUGGAGGAUGUGCCGGGUUGUUUAUCUACGAGGAUUCGACAUCAUGACAAAGGUGUGAUGUGUCUAACACAUUGCGUUAGUUGUGUUUCCACACACGAUGAUCUGGCACAUUUAUUCCCUGCUUGUCCUUUUGCUAUCCUAGUAUGGCGUUUGUCGGGGCUUUGGUCCCAAAUUCAUCAUACAUUUUUUACUGUUGCUGUUGUUUCUGCUGUAGAUACUAUUUUUGUAUUGGUCGAGAUGUUUCCACUGAACAGAAAAAAUUAUAUGCUGCCAUUUUGUGGAGCCUUUGGAAACAUAGGAAUUUAAAGGUUUAGGAGGAUGUGACAGAAGUUGCCGUUGCGGUUGUUGAUCGUGCGUGUGUGAAGAUACGGAUUGGCUGCCUGCAAACACUCAUACCCCCGCUGUGCGCACAGCUGCUACAUCACUCCACUUUUGGAUGUGCAUUCCAAUUCUGCAGAAGCUAGCUCUUCAGCUGUUCCAAUAUUAUUACAUAAUACAAAAUCUGAAGAAACAAAGCAUGAAGAAAAUGCAGUACAAGCUACUUAAAAUGUAGUACAAUAGCUUAAGUAUAGUAGUACAUUCACAUAUAAGAUAGUACAAUUCAUUUGUAUAAAUAACUGGAUGUACAGUACUCUUUUCAAUCUUCAAUGAAUCAGUUUUUUAUCUUUCUUUGAUUCUUAAUAUGGUAUCAGUUUUCUCUCUCUUCUUGAGAGAGUUAGUUACGAUCUAGAUCUAGCUUCCGCCAUUGAUGAUUCCUCUUCUAGCUUCAUCAAACUUCUUUUUUUACUUGAUUUUUCCUUGAAUCUUCGUGAUUCUUCUUCAUAUAUCCUUGUUUAAUACUCAAUUCUGUAUUGAGUUACUCUUGAUUUCUUCAAUCACAUUUUUUGUGGUUUUUCAAUUUUCAUCUUCUUUGAAGCAAUUGAAGCUCUGUUUUUUCUACUUUCCUCUUGAAUCAUGCCUCCUCGUGCAGUUCCGGUUGUAGUUCCACAAACUAACACCGAUUCCGUUUACUAUGUCCAUCCAAGUGAAGGACCAAAUUCUAUGACUGUCACUCCUCUUCUCACAGGCUCCAAUUAUCUCGCUUGGAGUCGUUCGAUGAAACGUGCGCUUGGUGCGAAGAACAAAUUCGCCUUCGUUGAUGGAUCCAUUCCGAUCCCUGAUCCUGAUGAUCUGAAUCGCAAUGCUUGGGAGCGCUGUAAUCAUCUCAUACACUCUUGGAUUUUGAAUUCUGUUUCUCUGCAAAUUGCACAAACAAUUGUUUUUCAUGAAUUCGCCAUUGAUGUUUGGAUUGAGCUUCAAGAGCGUUUUUCUAAAGUUGAUAGAAUUCGUAUCGCUUCUCUUCGCUCUUCCAUCAACAAUCUCAAACAAGGUGCUAAACCUGUACUUGACUAUUUCACAGAGAUGAAAUCUCUUUGGGAGGAGCUCAAUUCACAUCGUCUUAUGCCUAUGUGCACUUGUCUAUAUCCAUGCCGUUGUGAAUCUAUGCGCGCUGCUAGAGAAUUUCGCAUGGAGGAUCAAGUAAUUCAGUUUCUCACUGGCUUGAAUGAUACUUUCUCAGUUGUGAAGACUCAAGUUCUUCUUAUGGAUCCACUUCCUUCAAUCAACAAGGUUUAUUCUAUGGUUGUUCAAGAAGAAAGUAAUAAUACUGCACUUACUCCAGUUUCUAGUGAAGAUUCUAGUAUACUUGUGAAUGCAUCAGAUGCUAGAAAGUUCUAUGGACGUGGUAAACCUUCUUCAGGACCACCUCAAUCUAAGAACAAUUCCAUAUAUUGCACUUUUUGCCAUAGGAACAAUCACACAGUGGAUUUUUGUUACAUGAAGCACGAUUAUCCCAAUGCAAAUAAGCCUCAUGCUUCUUCAAAUGCUGUUGUUAAUGAAGGCAUUCCUGAUUCUCAGAAAGAUGGUGAAGGAUCUUCCAUUAUCUCUCAAACUGGUCUUACUCAAGAGCAAUAUGGUCAUCUGGUUGCUUUACUUCAGCAAUCAUCUUUGGUUCCUCAAGCAUCUGCCUCAAGUCCUGCUAGCACCAAUCAUAUUACUUCUUCUAUUCCAUCUUUCCCCUCAGGUAUAAAUACUGUUAUCUCUUGUUCUAUACAUACUCAAAAUAAUCAUUGGAUUGUUGAUUCAGGGGCUAAUGAGCAUAUUUGCUCCUCUUUGCAUUUGCUUCAUUCCUUUCAUAAGAUUAAACCUAUGCAUGUUACUUUACCUAAUGGUUCCACUGUGAUUGUUCACUAUGCUGGCACUGCUGUUUUUUCACCUUUUUUCCAUAUUACUAAUGUCUUAUAUUCACCUCAUUUCAGAGUUAACCUAAUUUCUGUUUCCAAACUUUGCACUAUUUUGUCUUACCAAGUCAAUUUUUUGCCUGAUAAAUGUCUGAUACAGGAUAUGAAAUCCCAGAAGAUGAUUGGUUUGGGUAAUAUUUGUGAUGGUCUCUAUAAGCUGAAUACUGCUUCAUGCAAUCAGAAGUCUUUUGUUUCUUCUUCCACAAGUCUUUGUGCUCCAGUUUCUUUGAACUCUUGUAAUUCUGUUUGUUCUAGUGUAGCUAUUUCCUUUAUUCCUUCCAAUGCUAUUUAGCACUUUAGAUUAGGACAUUUGUCAAAUCAAAGAUUGUCCAAAAUGCAUAAUUUGUAUCCCUCUAUUUCUGUUGAUAAUAAAGCUACUUGUGACAUAUGUCAUUUUGCUAAGCAAAGAAAAUUACCUUAUCAUUCCAGUCAAUCUAUUGCUAGUUCUAAAUUUGAACUUUUACACCUUGAUAUUUGGGGUCCUUUAGCUCAAACAUCUGUUGAUGGCCACAAGUAUUUCCUCACUAUAGUUGAUGAUUUUAGUAUAUUCUUAUGGGUCAUUUUACUUAAAACCAAAGCAAAAGUUUCUUUGCAUGUUAAAAAUACUUGAUCCAUAAUCAUCAUCAUGUUACCCCAAAAUUCAUAAGGACUGAUAAUGGUCCUGAAUUCUUUUUACCUGAUUUUUAUGCUUCAAAAGGCAUCAUUCAUCAAAGAGCUUGUGUAGAAACACCUGAACAAAAUGCUAGAGUAGAGAGAAAACACCGACACAUUCUCAAUGUUGCUAGAGCUUUGUUGUUUCAAUCCAAACUUCCCAAUGUUUUCUGGUCAUAUGCUGUUUUGCAUUCAGUUUUUCUCAUAAAUAGAGUUUCAACUCCUCUUCUCAAACAUAAAUCUCCCUAUCAUGUUUUAUAUGAUUCAUUGCUUGAUAUUCAUUCUUUUAAAGUUUUUGGUUGCCUUUGUUAUGCUUCUACACUUCAAGCUCAUAUAACAAAAUUACAAUCUAGAGCCAGAAAGUGUAUUUUCUUAGGUUACAAGUCUGGAUUCAAAGGCUCAAUUGUUUUUGAUUUACAUUCCAGAGAAAUCUUUGUUUCCAGAAAUGUUGUUUUUCAUGAAUUGAUAUUACCUUACAAUUCAUCAUCAUCCUCUUCUUCCACUAAAGAUUGGCAGUAUUUUCCUACUCCUUCCACUCAUUUUUCUAAUUUUGAGGAUCCUGACUUUUCACAAUCACCACCUUUUAUCACACCACCUGCACUCCCCACUCCUUCACAACCUACAUCAUCACCUCCCAAUGUCUCUAUACCUAUUAGAACUUCCAUCAGGAAUAAAGUUACACCUGCAUAUCUACAUGACUACAUUUACAAUGCAUCUGUCAUUUCUUCUGCUAAUAACAGUACCAGUCAAUACCCCCUUUCCAAUUUUGUUUCACAUGCUCAUUUAUCUAACACUCAUUCUGCUUUCGCUAUGUCUCUUGUUUCUUAUACUGAACCAAAAUCCUAUGAUGAGGUAAUCAAACAUGACUAUUGGAAACAAGCAAUGCAGACUGAACUUAAUGCUCUUGAACAGACUGGCACUUGGAAGAUAGUGGAUCUCCCUUCAUCUGUCAAACCUAUAGGGUGCAGAUGGGUUUAUAAAGUGAAGCAUAAUGCAGAUGGCUCUAUUGAGAGAUACAAAGCACGUUUAGUUGCUAAGGGAUAUAAUCAGAUUGAAGGCCUUGACUAUUUUGAUACUUUUUCACCCGUUGCUAAGGUUACAACUGUGAGAUUAGUUAUAGCUUUGGCUUCAAUCAAUCACUGGUUUUUGCAUCAGCUAGAUGUAAACAAUGCUUUCCUUCAUGGAGAGCUUCAUGAAGAUGUUUACAUGAUUGUGCCUCCAGGUGUUGUUCCUUCAAAGCCAAAUCAAGUUUGCAAAUUGUCCAAAUCUCUCUAUGGCCUCAAGCAGGCUAGUAGAAAAUGGUAUGAAAAGUUGACUAGCCUGCUCAUCAACAAUCAAUAUAUACAAGCUACUUCUGACGCUUCCUUGUUUACUAAGACAACUUCUGAUAGUUUUACUACACUACUUGUUUAUGUUGAUGAUAUAAUCCUUGCUGGAAAUUCUCUCACUGAAAUUACUUUCAUCAAGAAUGUUUUACAUCAAGCCUUCAAAAUCAAAGACCUCGGUACUUUGAAAUAUUUUCUAGGUCUUGAAGUUGCACACUCCAAAAGUGGAAUCUCUCUUUGCCAAAGGAAGUAUUGUCUGGAUUUGUUACAAGAUUCAGGUUUACUUGGCUCAAAGCCUGUUACCACACCUUCAGAUCCAUCCAUUAAGCUGCACAAUGACACUUCACCACUCUUCACUGAUGUCUCUGCUUACAGAAGAUUGGUUGGGAGAUUGAUCUAUCUCAACACAACUAGGCCUGACAUUACAUUCAUAACUCAACAGCUCAGUCAAUUUUUGAGUAAACCAACACACACUCAUUACAAUGCUGCUCUAAGAGUUCUUAAAUAUCUUAAAGGCUCUCCAGGUCGUGGCAUUUUCUUUCCUAGAGCUUCAGGAUUACACAUUCAAGGUUACACAGAUGCUGAUUGGGCAGGGUGUAAGGAUACUAGGCGUUCGAUUUCAGGCCAUUGUUUCUUUUUAGGACAAUCCCUUAUAUCUUGGAGAACCAAAAAGCAGCCUACUGUAUCUAAAUCUUCUUCAGAAGCUGAGUAUAGGGUAAUGGCAUCAGCAACCUGUGAACUUCAAUGGCUUUUAUACUUGUUGAGAGAUCUCCACAUUGAUUGUGUUAAGCUUCCUGUCCUAUAUUGUGACAAUCAAAGCACCAUGCAUAUUGCAGCUAAUCCUGUCUUUCAUGAGCGCACAAAACAUCUUGAAAUAGAUUGCCACAUUGUGAGGGAGAAACUUCAAGCUGGACUGUUCAAGCUCCUGCCAGUUACAACACAUGACCAACUUGCAGAUUUUUUUACAAAGUCUCUGUUCCCACAGCCUUUUAACAUUUUACUUUCCAAGUUGGGGUUGCUAGACAUCUACCAACCUCCAUCUUGUGGGGGGCUAUUACAUAAUACAAAAUCUGAAGAAACAAAGCAUGAAGAAAAUGCAGUACAAGCUACUUAAAAUGUAGUACAAUAGCUUAAGUAUAGUAGUACAUUCACAUAUAAGAUAGUACAAUUCAUUUGUAUAAAUAACUGGAUGUACAGUACUCUUUUUAAUCUUCAAUGAAUCAGUUUUUAUCUUUCUUUGAUUCUUAAUAAAUAUUAUAGAUUUUUAAUAUUAUUAUGAAAGUGCUUAAAUUAAGAUGAGAAAAAUAACAUAUAUAAUGAUUAAAAAUAUAUAUAUGAAUGCAACACACUUAAAAAAAGGCUAUAUAUAGUGUUAAUUUAUCUGUGUUUCAGAUGAUUUAUUUUCAAUUUUGCAAAAAAGAUAGAUAGGUCAAUAUAGAGAUUAGAUUUAGUUGAUUUAAUUCAGUUUACAUUCUAACAAAAAAAAACUGAACCGCUUUAAAAUUUGUGUUGAUGUUGUUUGAAUCUGUUUCUGGCUUAAAAGUUAACUUCCAUAAGAGCAUGUUAUAUGGGGUCAAUAUCUCUUAUUCUUGGUUGCACGAGGCGGCGUUAGUGUUGCCAUGUAAACAUGGUAGGCUUCCUUUCUUGUAUUUGGGGCUGCCUAUUGGCGGUGAUCUAAGGAAGAUUGUUUUUUGGUACCCUUUGGUUGAUCGGAUUAAAAGAAGGUUGUCUGGUUGGAAGAGUCGUAAUCUAUCUACAGGGGUCGUUUGAUUUUGUUUAAGUUUGUCAUGUCCUCCAUUCCGGUUUACUUUCUUUCCUUCUUCAAGGCCCCUCAGGGAGCUGUAAUCUAUCCAUGUCCUUCAUGGGGGUCAUUUGAUUUUGCUUAACACCUAUUUUGAUAUUCCUUUUCCGUUCUCUCUCAUCACCAUCUCUCUCCACUAUCGUUCUUUCCAUUCACCAAUUCCGUUCAUCACGUCGAAUCAUCUAUGGGUUCUUGGCUUUGAUUAUCCCCUAAUUCUCAUCUUAGGGUUAAUGGUAUCAAAGAAUAUUUUCUCCAUUCAUAUUGCGUUCAUCGUGAUUUGCGAAAAUUUCAUCUGUUUACUAAUCUCGGUAAUGUGAUUCACCUUCAUUGAUGCUUCUUCAUGGUAACUGAGCUUUGAAUUUUGCUAAGGUUUUGUUUCAAUUUGUUCUUCUUGUUUUUUAUACACAGUGAUAUUGUGAGAUUAUUAAAUUUGAUAAUUCUGAUGCUUUUCUUGGUGUUAUUGUAUUGGGUUUGAAGUGUUUGAUGAUUUUACUCAAUAAAAUUUGACUCUGUUUCGCAAUUGUUUGCCUAAUUUGACUUUAACAUUGUGUUGCCUAUGAAGUGUUUGAUAAUUUGAUUAAUGAAAUUUGACUCUCUAAUCGUGAGUAUCUCCAUAGAAAUCUGUUGCAAUUUGUGUUUAGUUAUCUUAAUAUUUUAUGGCAAUGAUAUUAAUGAGAAAUUGGGAUUGAAUUUUAUUGAUUGUGUUAUUGAACUCAAACUCUAACAUAUUCUUAUUUCAUAAUUAGAGGUACAUUUCUAUGAUUUAUGAGCUCAGCCUUUGAGAUUUUUGGCUUGGUUAUUUGUUAAUUUAUUAGUAUCUUUAAUCAAUAGUUAGGCAUGUGCUCACUUUGAUGAAUUUAUGAGUUUCUUUCAGAUUGUUUAAUUUAUAAUGAAUUUACAUGGGAGAUAGUCUUGUGUAGACACAAGUGUUUAGGCAUAAAAAAUUUAGAUAUGAUCAAGUAGUGGAAUCAAGAGAUAGAAUUAAGAAGGUAUGUUGUACCAAAAAGAAGAAUAAUAAUUAAGAAGGUAUGAAUAUAUUUAUAGAUAAGUAAAUUACAUGUUCUUUAAUGUUUUGUUCUCGCGCUCCUAUAAUUUUUAAAAAUUUCGUACAUGUUGUGGUGGUAUGAAUAUAUUUAUAGAUAACAAAAUUACAAGCACUUUAAUUUAUUUAUUUUUAGGGAAAAAAAAAAAAUCAAAGUGCUUGAAAUUUACUUGUUGUACUUUCUUAUUCUUGACAGAGAAAAUAGGGCCAAGGAAACUUAUGGAACAAAAUUUGCUUUAAUUGCACCUAAAAUUGUUAGCUAGCCUACAAAUUAGCUACAAGUUAGCUACUUGGUAAGUAACAUUUUUUAGGUGUUACAUGUAAUACCCUCAAGUGUUACUUAAAUCAUUUAGUAACAUAGGCUUUACCUAACAUUUAUCAAAUGUUACAAAAUUUAAAUAGUAACAUUUAUUUUUGAUUUAGUUACAAUUUUAAUGUGUUACUAAAUCUCAUAUAUGUUGCAGUGUAAUAGUACAUUUCCAAAUCAUCAAUUUGAAUAGUUCUAACACAAGAUGCACAUUGUUGCCUCCAAAUUAAUUUAAAUUAACCGACAUGAUUAAAAAAAUAGAAUAAGAUUUUUUUUUGUUACAAAAAAAUAGAAUAAGAUUGCUUUACCAAUCAGCUUAAAUAAUUUAGUAUUUUUAUAAUGUGGGGAGGCAGACUUUCCCAAACUUAAUAUGCACACAAACUAACUUCAAAAUCUGACAUUCAUUUCCAACAAAAAUACCAUAAUAAUUCAAAAUUCAUUUCAUUGAAAUUCCAAUUUCAUCAAAUUACAGCAUUCUUUAAUUUUUACAAAAUAAAUAAUAAUAAAAAAAAAAUCAUGAUGCUUGCCUAAUUACAAGACAUGAUUUUUACUAUUAACAUUGCUAAAGCUCUUAAAAUAUUGCAGCUUUAAGCCUCCUUCCAAGCUCUCUUCUGUACAAAAAGUAAAAUAAAAAUCACUAUGAGAAAAACAUAAAAUAAAAUUUUUUCAUGUCACAAAAUAAUUAAAAAGUUAAUGAAUGAUUUUUAUUUUUGUUACCUUAUGAGUUGCCUAUCAAAUCCAGAAGCAGCCAAAAGGCCUCUAUUUUCUUCAGCUCUUCUCAAUAGAUAAGGCAUAACCAUCUCAACUGGUCCAAAUGGCAUAUACUUGCUUACUCUAAAUCCAGCUUUGCUCAAACCAAAUGAAAGUGCAUCUGACAUUCCACAUAGUUGUGCAAAUUCAAGCUUAUGGUUCACUUUUCCAAUCCCAAUUUCAUAUGCUUUUGCUGCUGCCAAUUUCCCUACACAACAAAAAAAUCAAUACAUUUUAGAUACAUUAAUUGAAAUCUUGGUUAUUCUAGUAUUUUAUUGUUACAUGUAGCGCACAUAUAUAUUUCAUAUUUAAGGCAUGUCUGGUUGAUCGAUGUGGGUCAAUGACUGAUACCGACAUAUAUUGUUACAUUUAUUCGCAUACAUUUUCUUGAAAUAUUUCCAAUGUCUACGUAUCGGUGUCAAUAUCAUAUAUGUUGUCUAUGUAUGCGUCAAUGCUACAUACCAUUCAAUUUAAAGAUUGACACUUCAUAUUAAUGGGUCUGAUGUCUGACAUGCGACAACACCGACACAUAUGAUUACAUUUUCUUAAAAUAUUAUCAAUGUCCGACAUGCGACGACAUAGACACAUAUGAUUACAUUUUCUUAAAAUAUUAUCAGUGUAAAUAUUAUUUUAGGUGUUCAUGUAUGUUUCCGUGCUUCAUACAUUAUUCUAUAAAGUCUAAAAAAUAUGAUAUUGAAAAGAAAAAAAAAACCUAAUGAAUUAAAUAUCUAAUAAGUACCUGAUUCAAUGUUGUGUGUAGCAAGAACAACAGAUCCUUUUCCAUUAGCAAACUUCUCAAGCAAAUAAGAUGAACAAUCAUUGAAGCAAUUAUGUGUAUCUUUAAUAGUAUCAUGAAUUGGUGACUUAGACCCAAAAGAUUCAGCCAAUGUACUUUCUGUUGACAUAUAAGCACCUCUAACCAAUUUAAAUCCCAUAGGAAUUCCAAUUUUUUCAGCAGCUUUUGUUGCAAGAAACAAUCUCUCCUUAGCAUCUUUCAAAUAAGUUUGAAUUGUUCCAAACACAAUAGGAUUAUCAUCUUUAUUAUGCAUAAUUGCUGAAGAGUAUGUGAAGUAAUCAAUAGCUGGUUGAACAGUAGUGUGUUCAGCAUCAACCAAUAUUGGCAUGUUUGCUUCAACACAUUUUUUACAAAGUUGUUGUAAUCUUUGGUUUGCUAGUUGAAAAUCACUUUCUUCUUGUGGUGUUAAUGGUUCUGGUUUUUUUGUAGUUUGGUAUAAUGGACUUGAUUCAGAGAAAAUUGGUAGAGAAUCUUGUUUCCAUGGUAAAUUGAAUGAAGGGUCUUUUUGUUGCCAUCUUAGAAGAUCACUUAUUCUUUCUAGUAAUGCCAUUGGACAUAUUGCAGUGAUUUUCACAAUCACAAAACUCACCUAUCACAUAAAAAAUAAAUAUAUUAGAAAAUUGAAUUGCGUGUAGUCGGAAAUUUGACUCAUCCAUACGGUCAACACAUUCAUAAUAGUUCAAUCUUGAUCCAACAACUACAGAUAUGUUGUUUGCAUGAAUCCACCAAAUGCAAAAAAUUCUAGUUCUUCACAUAGUGUACCAAUUUAGAAUUAACAUUUUGGAAAUGAAAUAUAGUUAGAAAUGGUAAAAAUCCAAACUACUAAUGAACCCUUUUGUCCAAAAUACCACAAUCAAAUUUCUAAACACUAGUUUCUAAUUUUUGUUACAAUACCAACCACAUUGUACAUCAGCUAGGUGAGAGUGGGACCAAGAUUAUAUAUAUAUAUAUGUAAUAUAUGAAUACAAACAUUUAUGAUGGAAAUGAAAUAAUGAAAAUUCUUGUUAGAAAUGGUAAAAAUUCAAACUAGUACUUAAACCAUUUUGUCUAAAUCAGUAACAAUAAACUCUAAACACUACUUUCCAAUUUUGAUGACAGAAUGCCAACCACAUUGUACUUCAACUUGGUGGGGGACCAAAAUAUAUUAUUUAUUAAUUCAAACAUUAUGAUGAAAAUUAAAAUAAUAAACCUCUAAUUAGAAAUGGUGAAAAUCCAAAUUUAGUUAUCAACCCUUUGUCCAAAAAUACCAAACUUAAAUUUCUAAACACUAGAUGCCAACAAUAUAUGACUUAAUGUCUAUGAAGCACGAACACUCCUCGAAGGCAUGUCUCGGUGCCCGACAUCUACACUUAUCGUGUUCGACAUCAACACGGCAUCAACACAUGUAAUUACAAUGAAUUAUGUAAUUUUUUCAAAUUAUUAAUUAUGUCGGCAUAUCAAUGUCCAUGUAAUAUCCGGUAUUCAUAUCCGUACUUCAUAUAGCUCAAUGUCAGGCCAACCACAUUGUCCUUAAGUUAGGUAGGACCAACAAAAUAUAAUAUGAGACAAAAUAUUCACUGUCACAAGAUUUCAAAGAAAAAAAGCACAAAAAUGUUUACAUGAGAGCAUGACUUGAACUGGCAUAUCAAGUUGCUUACUUGGUGAUAUUAAUACAUGCAAUGUGACACUUGUUGCCAACUCAAUUCAUACUCAUCACAAAAAGUAGCAAUUCAAUUCAACACACGCCUCACAAUAAAAACACACACGUUCACUUUUCAAAGUCAAGGACCACAUCCCACAACUAAACCAUGAGGCACAAUAUGUCUAAUUUAAUUUAAUAAAAAAAAUCAUUAAAAUAUUAGUUUAAUUUAAUAAUACAAAGUAGUUAAUGGCCUUCUAAUCUUCUAUUUCUGAAAGGGAUUGGAGAAACUUCAUUCACCUAUACUUGUUUAAAUAUAACAGGUGCCUUAUGUUUUUCUAGACAUGCUAAAAUAUCAUUAUAAAAAAUGAAAAAGUAAAUAUGAUUAGAGAUCCUCCCAUAUUAUUAUUAUUAUUAUGGUGCAAAUGAGGGAAGAGAUCCACUUAUAUUAAAACACGUUUUAAAAAAUAUUGGGUAUUCAUAAAUAGAAAGAUCAUCUUCGAUCUUUAUUUAAAGAAAUAAAGAAUCCCAUUAUUAUGAGUUUAAUUGUAUGAUUAAUGUCUACUUAAUUAUAUCACUAAUUUUAGGAAUAUGUCACUUAAUAUAUUCUAAAAAGAAUAAACAAAAUCCAAUUUUGUUUUUAAAAAAUAGAGAAAAUUCAAACAGAAAAAGUAUUUGUUGAAUGUAUAUGAUGAUGAUCCACAGAAACUACUUAAUGCUAUUUCCACGCUACAUUAUACGACCAAAUUAAUUUGACCAAAAACCUCUUUUCUUUAAAUAAAAACAAACAAAUCUUUAAUUAAUCUAAACAGAUCUUAACCAAUUUAUUUUACCAUGAUCAUAAAAAAUUAAUCAAAAAAUAAGUCAAGAUAAAAUUAGAAACUUACAGAAGAAGGAGGAAGUGAUUUGCUAACAUCAACAGUAUGAAGAAACCCUUUAAGAUUACGAUCACAACCAUCAUUCUCAUGUGCAUCUUCAACACCAAAAACAAGCAUGCCACGUAAGCCAGCUUCAUUAACAGACCUUAUACUCUUUCCAGCAGUAAUAGCAUCUUCUCCAGCACAAAAAUGUUCAUAGAAUGUUCUCUUUGUAACUGCCAUAACUGCAUCUUUCAAUAUUCCCGUUUGUAACAAUUUUGAUUGCAUAGCCCAUAUUCCAACGUCCACUACAGGUCCUAUAGCCGUUGCAUGCAGAACGGCUGAGGAUCUUAUCAGCGUGGACGUUGGAACAGCUGAGAAUAAUCUCUCACCGUCGUUUAGGUCAAGAUAAGAUGGUUGUUGGUGUGACGGUUGUGGUGGAGAAGGUUGUUCUCUUUCGAGAAGGGAAGCGACGGCGGCGGUGGCCGAAGGAUGGGAGGAGUUUAAUGGUUUUGUGGUGGUUUUGAAACGGAGAUUCUUGAUGAUCUUUUGUGGGACCACACGAGUUGCCAUUCAAUAACAAGAAAAUUUG
This 23018-nucleotide long non-coding RNA is filed under the name Medicago truncatula (barrel medic). RNAcentral describes it as "long non-coding RNA (MTRU_LNC003879)". The record is from RNAcentral. Lineage: Eukaryota; Viridiplantae; Streptophyta; Magnoliopsida; Fabales; Fabaceae.